RNAcentral lists this ribosomal RNA (774 nucleotides) under uncultured bacterium. Its description in RNAcentral is "bacterial SSU rRNA". It matches the Rfam family "Bacterial small subunit ribosomal RNA", at positions 144 to 918 of the family's 1533-position model. The record is from RNAcentral.
CAACUCGGGGAAACUCGAGCUAAUACCGCAUACCUUCGAGAGAAGAAAGCGUGGGACCUUCGGGCCACGUGCUGUAGGAUGAGCCUGCGUCGGAUUAGCUAGUUGGUGGGGUAAAGGCCUACCAAGGCGACGAUCCGUAGCUGGUCUGAGAGGACGAUCAGCCACACUGGGACUGAGACACGGCCCAGACUCCUACGGGAGGCAGCAGUGGGGAAUAUUGGACAAUGGGGGCAACCCUGAUCCAGCAAUGCCGCGUGUGUGAAGAAGGCCUGCGGGUUGUAAAGCACUUUCGUUGGGGAGGAAGGGCUUGAUGUUAAUAGCAUUGAGCAUUGACGUUACCCAAAGAAGAAGCACCGGCUAACUCUGUGCCAGCAGCCGCGGUAAUACAGAGGGUGCGAGCGUUAAUCGGAAUUACUGGGCGUAAAGCGCACGUAGGUGGUUAUUUAAGUCAGAUGUGAAAGCCCUGGCUCAACCUGGGAACUGCAUUUGAUACUGGGUGACUAGAGUAUGGUAGAGGGAAGUGGAAUUUCCGGUGUAGCGGUGAAAUGCGUAGAUAUCGGAAGGAACACCAGUGGCGAAGGGACUUCCUGGACUAAUACUGACACUGAGGUGCGAAAGGUGGGGAGCGAACAGGAUUAGAUACCCUGGUAGUCCACGCCGUAAACGAUGAGAACUAGCUGUUGGAGAGAUCUUACUCUUUAGUAGCGAAUAACGCGAUAAGUUCUCCGCCUGGGGAGUACGGCCGCAAGUUAAAACUCAAAGGAAUUGACGGGG